Molecule: non-coding RNA, 126 nt
Organism: Podarcis lilfordi (Lilford's wall lizard)
Lineage: Eukaryota; Metazoa; Chordata; Lepidosauria; Squamata; Lacertidae
Source: the annotation of a GenBank genome assembly
GUCUAGAUGGAAGUCUCUCUCUCUCUCUCUCUCUCUCUCUCUCACACACACACACACACACACACACACACACACAGAGAGAGAGAGAGAGAGAGAGAGAGAGAGAGAGAGAGAUUGAAGGCUAAA